AUGUGCAGCCUGAAGACACUGCUGUGUAUUACUGUGCCAGAGAGCGACAGUGUGAACAGUAUUGAUCUCAUCCGGACAGACUCAAUGGUUGUGCAGCCUGGACAGUCUCUGACCAUCAGCUGUCAGGUCUCUGGAGUUUGGAGUGAGAUCAAACUGGACCAGUCUCCCUCUGAGGUGAAAAGACCUGGAGAGACAGUGAAGAUGUCAUGUAUCAUAUCUGGUUAUAGCAUGACAAGCAAGAAUAUUCACUGGAUACGACAGAGACCAGGAGAAGCUCUGGAGUGGAUAGCGUGGAUGAACACAGGUUCAAACUCUGCUAUCUAUGGCAGCUCCUUUCAAAGCCGUUUCAUCAUGACUGAAGAUGUUCCCAGCAGCACUCAGUACCUCGAGGUCCAGAGCCUGACAGCAGCAGAUUCUGCUGUUUACUUCUGUGCUUUCGAAGAGACACAGUGA
Non-coding RNA from Perca fluviatilis (European perch), 453 nucleotides. The record is from the annotation of a RefSeq genome assembly. NCBI's taxonomy places the organism in Eukaryota, Metazoa, Chordata, Actinopteri, Perciformes, Percidae.